RNAcentral lists this ribosomal RNA (228 nucleotides) under Clostridioides difficile. RNAcentral describes it as "partial 23S ribosomal RNA". It matches the Rfam family "Bacterial large subunit ribosomal RNA", at positions 2497 to 2724 of the family's 2925-position model. Lineage: Bacteria; Bacillati; Bacillota; Clostridia; Peptostreptococcales; Peptostreptococcaceae. The record is from RNAcentral.
AGUCCACAUCGACGGGGAGGUUUGGCACCUCGAUGUCGGCUCAUCACAUCCUGGGGCUGUAGUAGGUCCCAAGGGUUGGGCUGUUCGCCCAUUAAAGUGGUACGCGAGCUGGGUUCAGAACGUCGUGCGACAGUUCGGUCCCUAUCCGUCGCAGGCGUAGGAAAUUUGAGAAGACCUGUCCUUAGUACGAGAGGACCGGGAUGGACGUACCUCUGGUGUACCAGUAGU